This is a long non-coding RNA of Amphiprion ocellaris (clown anemonefish), 5255 nucleotides long. RefSeq lists it as uncharacterized. The record is from RefSeq and is a predicted model, not a curated record. Lineage: Eukaryota; Metazoa; Chordata; Actinopteri; Pomacentridae. The transcript is spliced from 3 exons.
GAUAAAUAUAUUUCACAUGCCUGAAUCCACAUGGAAAGGUCUUUAAAGCUGGUAAAAGAUUACACUGAAGUUGAAGCUGCAUCUCCUCUACCAGCUGUUUUAUUAAUAGAAAUUAUGUCACAAUCGUAAUCAGCAGCGCAGGAAGUAGUCACAUCCUUUAGCUAUGUAAAAGUACCAAUAUAACAAUGUAAAAACAUGCCACAGCUCACAUCAAAAGUAUUAUCAGCAAAAUGCACUUAAAAUAUCAAAAGUAAAAGCACUUGCUUGGCUGAUGCAUCAUUAUAUUUUAUCAUAUUUGGCAUUGUUUGUAGGUAUUAAGAUACUAGUACCCGAGGCUGUGCAGCAGCUCUGAUCUCUAAGAGGAAGGUCACGAGGCAAUUCUGAGUGGUCAAGACAUGAUUAAUGGCACAGAAUACACAAAUCUGUUUUCAUUUUAUACACAUUGUUUCUAAUCUUUAUUUUUGGGGGUUAAUAUUGGAUCAUUUCAACAGUUAAUGUAAUCAAAGUGUUACGUCCCUGAGAGCCUGGGGAUGAGGAUAGUAACAAAUGUAAAGAAAACCAGGUAAUGAGGCAGGAAAACCAAUCAAUAUAUUUAUUUACAAAAAAUAAACAAAACCAAAAAUCCAACAAAGCCGAUCCCAAUAUCACAAAGUCACAAGACACCACACUAUGGCCCAGACGCAGCAUUGAGCAGCUGAUCUGACACACUGUCCACCAUUAUCAGGGUGGCUCGCUUUAAACAAUCCUCGCUGAUUGUAAAGGAGUCACAGGUGCACCUGGCCACUCCUGCUGGGCGUAACCUGAGUAAAGAAACGAGAGAAAAAAAAAAAAAACACAACCUACCUUACCUACACACAGACACACACAAAAGCAUGAGAGGGGUUUAGGGGGAGAUUUCUGGUUGAACUUCUAGAAAAGUAUCUGAGAUGUGUGCAUGUUAAAUAUCUUUAUUUUGAGCUCCCAAAGCAAAAAGCUUAGAGCCACUUGUUUAUUCUGAAGUAUAUUACAUCCUACUAAAUGUUAAUGUGUUUUAUGCAAAAUGUAUAUAGUAAAAGAUGUCAAAUAAAUUCAUUAAAAACUGCAAUAUUUGUUUCUAAACUUUAGUGGUGUAGAAGAAGAGAGUAAUAUAAAAUAUAAAUACUCAAGUACUGUACAGGCACUGGUCCCUCUAAGCUGCACGCGUGCGCAAUUGCGCACUGCUGACACGGUCUCCGCGCACAGAAAAUCUGCUGCGCACAAAAAAAAAAUCCAACCUAAACUGUAAAUAAAAUAAACACGUAACAAUUCAUUCUGUGCUACUUUUCAAUGUGAGUCAGUGAGUGACCGGUGACUGGCUGCUGCAGCCAAUGAUGCGAUUCACCUACGUAUUUACCAUAGACUGUAUAUAAUGGUAUUUACGCAGCUAAUCAACGUCAGGCGUCCUUAUGUGCAGCUACCGUUGUUCUCAUAGAUAUGAAUGAGUAGAUAGGACACGCCCCUUUGAGCUGCGUGCUACAGCGAGGCUAAGCUAGUGGGGGCAAAGUUUCAGUGCAUUCCGUUGAUGUAGACGGCGUGAAAACGGAAACAACAAGUAUGCCGGCUCACUGUGCUGCAUACAGUUACACACUACGUCGUACGAUUGAGACAAGGAAACUUGGAAUGACUUUUCAUAGGUUUCCCAGAGACUAUGGGUUGAGGAGGAAUUGGAAGUUUGUCGGCUUAGACCUGGUGUCAUUCCAUCAGUGUUUAACUUCCCGGCUCAUCUUGGAAGACUACGUGCCAAAAAGACCACGACCAAGCAGCCUUGAGAUCUUAGGCAGCGUCUCCCUGAGGUCCCUCUCUAUCUCCCCACACAUCCACCAACCACUGGAACACAUCUCCAAAGUUCUGCUGGGCCAGCUCAGCUUCCCCUCAGAAGAAGUGCUGCCACCUGCCAGAUGAAGGAGCCUUUUGAGAGGCAGCUGGCAUCGUGAUUGGACUGUACUUUGGUUUGUUCCAAUCCAUCUUCAGCUCCAGAGACGGUAGGCGGGACGAAUCAACGGAGGCCGGGUGGAUGAAGGCAUGCAGCUGAGUACAAUCCAGAAAACAACAGAGGAGGAGUGCCGUGGCCCAGAGCCAGUACAACCAGAGUAGCAUCGUAUGUCUCUUAGAAAACAUCAUAGUAGGGCUGGGCGAUUUUGCCAAAAAAAAAAAUCUUCGAUUUUUUUGAAAAAAAAAUCGAUUUUCGAUUCGAUUUCGAUUUUUUUCUAUGCAUUUAUAAGUGAUUGAGAAAAACAGAUAUUCUGUCAAAAGUUUGUUUUAUUGCAAACAAUUCAAGGCCUUGCCAUUCAAAAUUCAAGUUAUAACCCAGUUUCAAAAAAAGUGCAAGAGAACUUAGCUUAAAUUUUACAAUGAUUAAGAAAUUAAAUAAUGUUAUGAUUUAUAACACUACUACUACACUUACCAAAAAAAGUGCAAGACAAAAAAAUGCUUGAAGCUUGUGUUGAACAAACAGCCUUAAUUGUAAACAUUUCAUCUUUAAAAAGUAUCUCGCAUCCAAAACAUUCAGCAAGUGAUUGAAGCCUCGCUUUUCCACGGAAUAAAUGGGAAGCAUGUCUGUGGCAAUAUACAAAGUGAUGGCCUCUGUAAUUGCCUUAAAGCGGGCUCCACUCUUGUCAUACGGUACACAGUUGGCGAAUCUCUCAACAAGCGUUGUCUGUUUUGGCGGAGCUGUGCUCGGGGUGCCGUCUUCUUGUCGAAGCCACUUGCUCUUCUCCCACUCAUCUGGGUGCUUUUUUUUUAAGUGUUGAAACAAGUUUGUCGUGCUGCUACUUCCAGUUGCUACAGUCUUAAAACAAGUUUUGCAGCACGGCUUGGUCUGUUGAUCGUCGCUUGGAUCAAAUCCGAACCAGUUCCAAAUGACAGAAUUCCAAUUUCCUUUCUUUGAACAGAGUUGUUUUCUACUCGCGGGGGCAGCCAUGUUGUCUCUUUCUGUGCAAUGCGCGGGGCGCGCUACGGUAGCCCACGAGUGAAGUGAAGCCUGAACCGCGAAAAAAGAAACUAACGGGGAAAAUAAAUAUCAGAUCAAUGGGAAAACACUCGAGUUAGUAAAAUAAAAAUCGAUUUUAGUUAUAAAAUCGAUAAAUUGAUAAAUUCGAUUUUAUUCCCAGCCCUACAUCAUAGUAGAGCGUUUGGGAUGAAAAAACACCAUCAUAUACAUCGUAUAUUGUACAAAUAACAAGUCAAAGGGAAGAGACAUACAUUGUAGAAUUGUAGUAAUUGUGGGCUGACUGAUUUACUGAUUAUCAGUAUUUUAUUUUUUACUGAUUUACGGUAAUAAAUACAUUUAUUCAUUUAUAAAAAUUUAUAUAAAAAUGGUGCUACUUUGGCUCUGAACCUUUAUCUACCUGUGGUCGCGCUGUCUUCUGGAGUGAUUUGAUUGGUUAUACGUCACAAAUAAAACUCCUUUAACUUAACAUCUGUAAACAAAACAAAAAUGUAUCAACAAAGUUUUCUGUUAGAGUUUGUGUUCUUCUAAGUUUAACUCAAGAUUUUAAAUACUUUCAUUUACUGCAAAUGAAUAUCUACUCCAAAUGUCUCACUAAUAAUCAUUAUCAGCCUUAAAAACCCACAAAACACCCCUCUAUACUCGAUGACACUUAGUACAGUCUGGUUCCCCCUUCUAUAAAUCUGCCUGGAAUCUUCCACUUCCUGUUUGCCAAAGUGGCCUUCUACCUGGACAGGUUUUGUUGGAGCUCAUGCAACAAACAUUUUGGGUAACUGCACUUUAAUAUGGAUGGAUGAUACUUAAUUAGAGUCUGUUUUAAUGAGACUGAGUUAAGAUGUGUAGCUCUGUCAUUAAAUAGGAAAUUAUUUCUCAGAAUUCACAGAGAAAAGUCUGAAAUGUUUGCUAGGUUAGCGUCCCACAUGUUCUUUGGCUCAGCUAAAGCUAACUCUCUCCAACUUCUGGAUCUCUUGAGUUGCUUGUUAAAAUAUCUUGCUAGAGGUGCUGAAGCUCAGAAAGUCUGAGAUGUUUGUUCAAAAUAAGCUCAUUCUUAAGUCUUAUCUGAACUGUCCUCUUUUGUUUUAACUUUCCCUAAACUUAGGAGUUAAUGACAGAGCAGCACAUCCAGACUCAGUCUCAUUUAUGUAGAGAUUAAACUUUAGUGUCAUUCAUUGAUGUUGAAGUGCAGUUUUUCAAAUGUUUGUUGCACAUGCUCCCGACCAAACCAGUCCAGGUGGAAGACGAUGUGAAGAGAAAGCUCCAGAGGAUGAAUAUCACACAUUUACAUUGGAAAUAAAUGUCCUUUAAUUAGACAUUGUAAUGCAAAAGUUGGAUUUCCCUUUAAUGAUGUUCAAAUCUUUGUUGAGUGUUUUGUUGAUGUUGGUUUCUAAAUGUUUUUUGACACUCGGCUCCAAAGAUUAAAACCUUCUACGGCUCACAAGCUGCAACAAUUCACACAUUAUCAACUAUCUUUGACUAAACUAAGAUAAAAAGUGAAAAACUGCCUGAUUCCUGCAUCAUGAAUGUAAAUCUUUUUGGUUUUUAUGACCAUAAACUGAAUAUAUUUGGGCUUGACAUUUUAUAAACCAAAACAAGAAAUGAAUUACUGGAGAAAACGACAGAUUAAUGGACAAAGAAAAUGUGUUUUCUAACAUAUAUGGCUGAAUUACUUCAACAUUACAAGAUACAUACAAUUUUAAUUCAAUUUUAUUUAUAUAAUGCCAAUUACAGGUCAAAUUGUCUCAAGAUGCUUUAUUUUUAUAUUUUUUGUCAUAUUUAAAAUAUGACAAAAUAAGAAAUUUAAACCUCUUGACUAAUCCAAUUUAUUAUUUAGUUUUUAAGAGACUAAUUGACAAUUCAAACUUUCUCCACUAAAACUAAUAAACAUGAGGUCAAAUACAAGGAAUAGUUUUAAAUACUGCAGUCCCACGACGACAAGAAUAAAGUUUCUCAACAAAAACUAAAUCUGCUGGUGGAUUCCAUGAAAGUCCUAAUAAAGGAUAAUAAAGUGUGAUACUAAAGGUUUGUGGUGCUAAAAAUCUCAAAGUAAAGAUAUCAAGUUGAACAUCUGGAUGGAGGUUGAUAAAAGUUGACCUUCUUUCAUUUCUCUGGAGCGACUCCAUGGAUUUUAUGGAUGGUGGUUAAAGACCUGCUCUUCUAGUGGUCUUCCUUUUAGUCGCUGUAAAAAGUCACUCUACCUGGCCGACUUUAACACCUCUUCAUGACUUGUUCUGCCUCUGACCUGGUGGAAACUCGAGAAACUCGGGAAAACCUGUCGAGACUCGAGGAACUC